GAAGGUAGCAGAACGUUCUGUAUUAUAUCUAAUAGUGGCUAAGGUACCACAGGACCAAAAGGUUUUGUAAAGGUCCACGAUAAAUUGAAUAUAAAUCGUAGACCACUAUUAGGGCGCCUCGCGCUCCGCGCGAGUCACCCGGCUACGUCCGGGGGACUCCGCGGUAAAAGUGUAAACGACUAAGAAAUAACAGAAGUGAGUAUGUAGACAUGAGUAACACUAUUUGAGUAAAAGAUUAACAUAUAUUUUAGG
Molecule: ribosomal RNA, 252 nt
Filed under: Dunaliella salina
Lineage: Eukaryota; Viridiplantae; Chlorophyta; Chlorophyceae; Chlamydomonadales; Dunaliellaceae
Description: large subunit ribosomal RNA
Source: RNAcentral